AAGAUAGUCCUAUAACAGUUCCUUGUUCCCCUCAAAGAAACAUUUAUUUUGUUUUGAGUUGAUGGGAGGAAGUGAGUACAAACAAUGAAGCUAUUAAAAUGGAUGAUAACAAAAUAUGGAUCCAUAAUCAGACACAUUAUUGAAGUUGGGAAAAAAAGCAAUAUCAUUUUUAGGUCAAGCCUCAAUUUGAGAUUUAUGUCUUACCUUUGAACCUUUGAAUAUUAUAA
RNAcentral lists this unclassified non-coding RNA (227 nucleotides) under Hevea brasiliensis (rubber tree). Lineage: Eukaryota; Viridiplantae; Streptophyta; Magnoliopsida; Malpighiales; Euphorbiaceae. The record is from RNAcentral.